CCAGACUCCUACGGGAGGCAGCAGUGAGGAAUAUUGGUCAAUGGCCGGGAGGCUGAACCAGCCAAGUCGCGUGAGGGAAGACGGCCCUACGGGUUGUAAACCUCUUUUGUCAGGGAGCAAGGUGCAGGUCGGGACCUGCUGUGAGAGUACCUGAAGAAAAAGCAUCGGCUAACUCCGUGCCAGCAGCCGCGGUAAUACGGAGGAUGCGAGCGUUAUCCGGAUUUAUUGGGUUUAAAGGGUGCGUAGGCGGGCUUUUAAGUCAGCGGUAAAAAUUCGGGGCUCAACCCCGUCCGGCCGUUGAAACUGGGGGCCUUGAGUGGGCGAGAAGAAGGCGGAAUGCGCGGUGUAGCGGUGAAAUGCAUAGAUAUCGCGCAGAACUCCGAUUGCGAAGGCAGCAUGCCGGCUCCACACUGACGCUGAGGCACGAAAGCGUGGGUAUCGAACAGGAUUAGAUACCCGAGUAUC
This 465-nucleotide ribosomal RNA is filed under the name uncultured bacterium. RNAcentral describes it as "bacterial SSU rRNA". It matches the Rfam family "Bacterial small subunit ribosomal RNA", at positions 331 to 795 of the family's 1533-position model. The record is from RNAcentral.